GCAUUAGUGGUUCACUGGUAGAAUUCUUGCCUUCCAUGAGGGAGUCCUGGGUUCGAUUUUCAGCUAGUGCA
This 71-nucleotide transfer RNA is filed under the name Loxodonta africana (African savanna elephant). It matches the Rfam family "tRNA". From Rfam's summary of the family: Transfer RNA (tRNA) molecules are approximately 80 nucleotides in length. Their secondary structure includes four short double-helical elements and three loops (D, anti-codon, and T loops). Lineage: Eukaryota; Metazoa; Chordata; Mammalia; Proboscidea; Elephantidae. The record is from Rfam by way of RNAcentral.